CACCCCUUCACCGCCAUGCUUAACAGUUGGCAUUGAGUUGUAUGUGUUGAUAUGCUGUUUGGUUUUGUCACAAGGUAAAACCUCUUUUCCGAAAUAAGUUAGGAACUGCACUCAAUCCCAUCAAUAUGAGUCAAGAUGCAACUAAACCUGGACCCAGCACCAGAUCCCAGAUACAAAUAUGCAAAUAACAGAGAGAGGUUUAGGUACUCCAAUGUUCAAACAGGCAAUUUUAUUUGAACCAAAUGUCAAACAGCAUUUUGACCUGUGAGGUCUUUCUCAACUAAC
Non-coding RNA from Pelobates cultripes (western spadefoot toad), 285 nucleotides. NCBI's taxonomy places the organism in Eukaryota, Metazoa, Chordata, Amphibia, Anura, Pelobatidae. The record is from the annotation of a GenBank genome assembly.